ACUUUAUUUUAUGCUAAAACGGUUAAAAAGAUAAUCAUGGCCAAAACGGAGACGUUUUCAUGGCCACAGCAGCACAUGAUGUUGUGAUAAAUCCCAGUUUACUCUAGAAACUUGAUCUUCGAGCAACGGUGAGUGAUGAGGAGCGGUGUUGGAGGACGAUCGUGGCCAUUGACGACAAGAAAUGUCGGAUCUUAAUACCGAUUGUCCCCCCGAUUGCUCUGCUGGGCCAAAAGGAGACAAUCUCUAUAACUGGGUCGCCACCAUCAUCGGUCCCUCAGGAACCCCAUAUGAAGGUGAUAUAUUCUUUCUUGAAAUAGAAUUUACAAGUGACUACUCAUUCAAACCUCCCAAGAGCUGCAGGUGGUAUUUAAAACCCGUAUCUUCCACUGCAAUGUCGAUUCAGGUGGAAACCUUGGUCUAGAGAUGCUGAAAGACGGUUGGAGUCCAGCUUUAACCAUUUCAAUGGUUCUCCAUGCAACCAGAUCUAUUCUUAUGAAUCCUGACCCACAUAACCCAGUUGUUGCAGGAAUUGCCCAAGUGUACCUAACUGACCGGAAGAGCCAUGAUGCAUUAGCUGCAGAAUGGACUCUGCGAUUUGCAAAAUAGUAAUGGAAGCUGAGAUUUUGCAAACUAGUAGAAACUUUGACUUUCCUCCUUUGUGAUCAAGAAGGAUCUUGAUCAUUCAUCCCCUAAUUAGAAAGGGACAUAAAGGCUGUAAAAUUUGAUAAUUUAUUUUUUGUUGGAUAAAUGUCACACAAUCCAUGUAAUUCUGUUCUUGGAUAUUGAUAUCUGGUUUAAACCUUCCCCUAAGUUGAAUUCAUUAACCAAAACCCAACUAUAUUACAAUUUCACUGAAAAUAUUGUUAUUAAAUGAUUAUAAGAUAUAUUAUUGUUAAA
This is a long non-coding RNA of Impatiens glandulifera, 897 nucleotides long. RefSeq lists it as uncharacterized. The transcript is spliced from 4 exons. The record is from RefSeq and is a predicted model, not a curated record. Lineage: Eukaryota; Viridiplantae; Streptophyta; Magnoliopsida; Ericales; Balsaminaceae.